RNAcentral lists this long non-coding RNA (1822 nucleotides) under Oryzias sinensis (Chinese medaka). RNAcentral describes it as "lncRNA (ENSOSIG00000013708.1)". Lineage: Eukaryota; Metazoa; Chordata; Actinopteri; Beloniformes; Adrianichthyidae. The record is from RNAcentral.
GAGCCCACUCCUGACAGAAGCUCCAUCAUAGCACUGACUAGACUGACAAUUUCAGCUGCACUUAAAGCAGAAAGAUGCUCAAGAAUUUGGCUGGUAAUAAAAUCCACAUUUAACUAACUUGAAUACCUUUACUUUAAUAUCUUUACAGACAAAUCUAAUUAUGAAUGACAAAUUUUCCACAUUGGAUCUGUCUUUGAUUCCAUAACUUUUGAUACAAAAUCAGCAUAAUCUACUUCGACAAAGUUUUCCUUGAUUUUAAUAAAUACCAUUCUGGCCGGCUCAGCUCCUCUGGGACUGUGAGCGACCGAGUGAGACUAGGAGCGGGUGUGACGUGAGAGGCCACGCCCUCCCUUGCAUCUACCAAUCAACUAUAGCAGCUACUUCGAAUGAGAGCCAGCGAGUGCUCUUUUUUUCUAUUUAUUAGCAUUAACAAUAUCUUUUUAAAAUUUGGACAGUUUGCCUUUUGUCACGUUGGAAGGCAGUCCUGGCAUGGGGGGGGGGGGGGGGCACUUGGCAAUGCCCCACUUAGCCAUGGGCAAGUCGAAAAAGAUGUACAACACACCUACAUCUCACCUACGUCCGCCUAACUUAGACUUGUGUGUUGUAUAUGUGUUCGCAAUGACCUGUUGCUCAAAGCCUUCCUGUAGAAAAAACGUGCAAGAACAUUUUUGCCCAACUUGUUCACCAGGCGAUCUACAACAUGGUUAUUUUGUGCUGGUGACUUCCAUGCCCCAUACAGGAUUGCCCAUUUUCGCCUGCAUACAGUCAAAAUCCACCUGUAGGGGGAGAAGUGGCUGAGGCUUAACCCAGAGGAAGAGGAGCAGAGAGAAGAGGAAGAACAGAUGAAAGAGCAGAUGGAGAGAUUGAGGGAGGAGCUUAGCUGUUAGUGAACUAUAGAAGAGACACAAACUUCCACUUUCUACACAGUUCAACACACAAAAGCCAAACAUCAGCUUCAUCCAACAUGCUGUCUGUGCAGACAUCUGUGUUCACUCUGCUGCUUCUAGUCAUUGGAACAGAUGUCAGCUGUGAAGAACUCACUGCAGUCAAGAAGGAAGAGUCCACUUUGGAAGGAACUUCUGUCUCUCUGUCCUACAAAUAUCCCAAAUUGUCUACUAGUAAUUAUUUCUUCUGGUAUCGACAGUUUCCAGGAAAACCUCCAGAGCUCCUGGUCUCUCAUUCUUCUUCAGGACAGAUAGGAAUUACAAAAAUUGAAGGACUGCAGAUUCAAGUUGCAAACAAACAGAUAGAUCUGCAGAUCUCCUCUGCUGCAGUGACAGACUCUGCUGUGUACUACUGUGCUCUGCAGCCCACAGUGACAGGAAACAACAAAACUCUGUACAAAAACCUGCAACAGGGAAGCACAACAACAUCCACUAGAGGGUGCUCUAACAGUAAAACAGUUCAUGUGUUGAGAAAACAAAACUGGUCAAAGUAUAAAAAGUUCUUGUGAGAACAUAAUUAUCCCUUGUGCUGUCUUAGAUGACCCCACCCUUACAUUGACAUGUUAUUCUUUUUCCUUUUCUUUCUUUCUUUGCUCUUUUUUUUUUUUUUUGCAGAAACAACUUUUAAAAAUAUUGUUAAAGGCAGAAUUACCAACAUGCCACCCAGGAGGACCAGAAAAGAACACUAAAAAGAGGAUCCAGAACUGUGGAACUAAUACAUUGUUCUUCAUUUCCUUUUCUGUGAAAUAUUGACCCAAUGUGACAGAGCCAUCAACAAUGCACAUCAAAAGAUAUUUAAAGUUUAAUACUCAACGAUUGUUCUUUUUUCCCCCUGCUUUUAAAUUUAAAAUUGAUUUUCAGGUGACACAUUUAAAGGG